Molecule: non-coding RNA, 148 nt
Filed under: Ipomoea nil (Japanese morning glory)
Lineage: Eukaryota; Viridiplantae; Streptophyta; Magnoliopsida; Solanales; Convolvulaceae
Description: Eukaryotic small subunit ribosomal RNA
Rfam family: Eukaryotic small subunit ribosomal RNA
Source: Rfam by way of RNAcentral
UACCUGGUUGAUCCUGCUGCAGUAGUCAUAUGCUUGUCUCAAAGAUUAAGCCAUGCAUGUGUAAGUAUGAACUAAUUCAGACUGUGAAACUGCGAAUGGCUCAUUAAAUCAGUUAUAGUUUGUUUGAUGGUACCUACUACUCGGAUAA